UUCUCUUUCCUUCUCAAACCAUUUGUCCUCUGAUGCAACAGUUCCCCUGAUGCAAACUUGGGGCAAGUGUAGAGCUUUUGGUAAGGGAAUCUGGCAUCUGCAUGGGCCACAGGCACCCAGGCAGAAUAACACCCCACAACUGCUGAGAGGUGGGAGCAGCCCUGAGCCAAGCUGUGGGAAGGAGCAUUGCCUUUUAGGCUAAGAGUGAAGUACUUAUGGUCCCAGCAGCUGCUGGCAGCUCCUGGGAGUUCCCAUCUUAACUUCAUCGAGAAAGAAACAGAACUGGAGUAUCAGGCAGCCUCAGCUGUUCGUUUGGGGGAACAGGAGGAGGAGGGAAGGCCACCACGUCCCAGGAUCCAAGAGGAGGAUCAGACCACCAUUUGGGGAGCUUCCCAGGGUCUUCAAAGGCAUAGUCUAGUUCAAGACCCCUGAAGUCUCUUACCUUUGGAGUCCAACAUCAUCCACAGUCACAUGACACCGGACACUUGGUCAAUGACAGACUCCACACAGACCAUCCACAGUGUGACGCCGCUGUUCCACUAUGUCUUUUCUGUGACAGAUACACAUGUUCUCUUCACUGUGUCCCAGCUGCCUACAGCAGUGAGCACGGUGCCAUGCUGUACAGGUGUGGCCCGCUGUGCUGUGAGCUUCUGACAUGUGGGGAGUCACUGACCAUACACUGUGUGUAGCCCAUCAAGUGACAAAUGAGUGUACUUCUCUGAGGUUAUAAUAGAACCUCUUGUUUAAAAAAAGCUUUUUCAAGUUAAUGCACAAAGGUGAUCAUUCUAGCACCUAAGUGCAUCUGGGGAAUCACCGAAAAUGUGCCUAGAUGCUGUGCCACCUGCUUGCUGCAGGCUUCCCCGCAGCCUCAGGCUCCCGGCUGUCAGUGCCAUGCUCACUGCCAGGGUCCCCGUCACGCUCCGCCUUUGUAUUCCUCAGAAGAUGCUUAAUAAAUGCUUGCUUACUUGGA
Otolemur garnettii (small-eared galago) is the source of this 970-nucleotide long non-coding RNA. RefSeq lists it as uncharacterized. Lineage: Eukaryota; Metazoa; Chordata; Mammalia; Primates; Galagidae. The record is from RefSeq and is a predicted model, not a curated record. The transcript has 3 exons.